Long non-coding RNA from Pteronotus mesoamericanus, 2209 nucleotides. RefSeq lists it as uncharacterized. Lineage: Eukaryota; Metazoa; Chordata; Mammalia; Chiroptera; Mormoopidae. The transcript is spliced from 4 exons. The record is from RefSeq and is a predicted model, not a curated record.
CUCAUGAUACUCCAAAGUCACUGGGAAAUAUAAGCAGAAAUUUGGCCAGAAUGCAUUGCACCCUGCAAGAAAAUGUUUAAUUUUUCUAAAACUCAAGGACUCACUGAGAGAAAAAUAAGUUAAAAAUAUAAUGAGCAGGUUCUCUCAAAAGAUAAAGUAGUCUUUCAUGUUGCCUUUGGAGCUGAUGGUGUUUGAACAUGAGAAGACUUGGCGAACCAGGGGUGAGUGAAAAACCAGAGCCGUGCUGUCACCUGAGGGUUCUAACCUCCGCGGGAAAGUGAUAAGCAAGGCCCGGAACCUGCCCAAGGAAACCCAACCUGUUUCUUUAAAUAACUUAACUGCCAUUUUUAUUAAAUCAGAGAGGGGACAAGGAUGCAGAAAGAGAAGGAGAGUAACAUCUAUGUGAAAGACAAACACCAACUGGUUGCCUUCCAUAUACACACCUACUGGAGCCAGAACCUCCAACCCAGGCAUGUCUCUUGACCAGGAAUCAACUGGGGACUUUUCAGUUUGUGGGAUGAUGUCCAACCAAACCAACUGAGUCACACUGGCUGGGGCCGAGGAAAAAUAUUUAUGUUUUCCCUCCUUUAAUUUCUAAACAGAUCUUGCAUAUUAUGAUGACACUGAAUUUGGCAUAUUGUUAGUAAUGUAACAUUGAGAUUUUUAGCAGUUAAAAACAGUUUUUGCAUACUCAAAAUUAAAUUAACAUUGGAAAAUAAAUUCUUCAACCAAUUAUAUUUUUAAAAAAGCAAAGCUAUGCCAAGCUGAUAAUAAAAGGGAAAAAAUCCACAUGGUAGCUGUUCUUCACAAAUAUUCUGACUAUACAGGGACAUAUAUUCUAAAGACAAAAAGAAUUGUAGGAAAUCUUGAACCUGACACAGUGAAUUUGUUCUUGGUAGCAGUAUUGGUGUGGUAGGUCUAAAACUAUUUUGUGUAUAUCGUAGGACUGAGGAAUUAAGUAAAUACAGGGUGGAACAAAAGUAGGUUUACAGUUAUUCAUAUGGAAAGUAAUACAAUAAUAAAUUAUAAUACAAGAAAAAGCUUUGUGUUUCCCAUACUUACAACUGUAAACCAACUCUUGCCUUACCCUGUAAAUUGACUGAUAUUGUGAAGCAUGAGGAUUCUAACUUGAGAGAAGAGAAAUCCAAAUAUGGAGUGGUAGGAGGAAAGAAUGAUGCUCGAAUGAAAUUGAUGGUAGCAGCACUGAGGUAUUCUAUUAUAUAGCUCUAACCAUACUGUACACACAUAGGUACAUGCAUAUGUAUAUGUAGGUGUAUGUGUAUGUGUGUAUUUUUUAUUAUUCACUGAAAAGGCCUAGAAAAGAUGACACUCUGGCAGCGUUGAGCAAACCUAGUGUCCAGAUCUGGGUUUUAAAACAAGGCCUCCAGGGACAGAAAAUUACGAGUUAAGCCUGAAGUAUCUGGAUGUGCUAUAGAGAACGUGCACACACUGGUGAGGACACAUCACAAAGAAACAGAAACCAACUAUGAAAGGCUUCCACUGGUCACAUUUGGUACAACUGUGGCAUCAAGUAGAUAAUGAAAGAAAGAGACUGUAAUAACAUUGAAUUGAAAAGUGUAUUCAUAAAUACAUAGAGAUUCUAAAAUUUUUUAAGGGGAGAGGGAGGAGAAGGAAACACAAAGCAAAUCAACUAAUAAAUGUAAAAGUAAUGAUAGAAAUAGAAAACCAUACUUUUACAACCACAUAAUAAUAACCAAUUCAGAUGUAAUCAUCAAUGUAUACUAAAACCACCAGGCAAAAAGUCAGGGGACAGGAAAACCACACAGUCUCAAGGCAUCAUUGUCCUAUUUAUAUGCGGAUUAUAUUUGAACUUAUAAGGGAAAAAUUUUGCUUUACACUAGAAAAAUCAUGCAGAUAGUACCUUUUUCUUAACAUCACCAGUAAGAGAACACAUUUACAACCUAUGUUUCCUUAGAAGGACACUGGGAAGGACAAAGCUUUACUUAUGUAGAUGUCCUGCCCAAAAUGCUUAAUCUCAAUUUAAUCAUGAGGAAACAGUCAAACAAAUCUAAAAUGAAGGACAUUUUGAAAAACAACUACACUGAACUUUUCGAAAAUAUCAACAUUAUGGAGAACACCACUAUUUUUUAAAAAAGCUGGAAACUCAUCAAAUUUAAAGGAAACUAAACAGAGAUGACAACUAACAGAGUGUAGUUAAUGCCGACCUCGAUCUCGGUUUGAAAAAAAU